This 382-nucleotide ribosomal RNA is filed under the name uncultured eukaryote. RNAcentral describes it as "partial 18S ribosomal RNA". It matches the Rfam family "Eukaryotic small subunit ribosomal RNA", at positions 592 to 976 of the family's 1831-position model. The record is from RNAcentral.
CAAUAGCGUAUAUUAAAGUUGUUGCAGUUAAAAAGCUCGUAGUUGGAUUUCUGGUUGAAGCGACCGGUCGGGCGUUGAUUCGUCUGCACUGGAGUCGGUUUUGGCCAUCCUCUAGGAAAGUGCGUCUGGUAUUAAGUUAUCGGGCGUAUGAUCCUGGUCUUUUACUGUGAAAAAAUUAGAGUGUUUAAAGCAGGCCUUCGCCUUGAAUACAUUAGCAUGGAAUAAUAAGAUAGGACUUUGGUCUAUUUUGUUGGUUUGCAGACCGAAGUAAUGAUUAAUAGGGAUAGUUGGGGGUAUUUAUAUUCCGAUGUCAGAGGUGAAAUUCUUGGAUUUACGGAAGACGAACUACUGCGAAAGCAUUUACCAAGGAUGUUUUCAUUAA